This 1799-nucleotide long non-coding RNA is filed under the name Centruroides sculpturatus (bark scorpion). RNAcentral's name for it is "uncharacterized LOC111628534". Lineage: Eukaryota; Metazoa; Arthropoda; Arachnida; Scorpiones; Buthidae. The record is from RNAcentral.
CGCCCUACUUUUCCACUUUCACCGUUUCUUCCGUUGGCGGUCGCAUCGCACUCGAAAAGAGCGCGAUGCGACCAGAGCGACGACGCGCCUGCCGGAAAAUUUGGCCUCGUCCGCGAUCUUUUCCGUUUUCUAUCCGGCGAUUUUUGGGCGGAAGAAAGUAACCGAGAAACGGCGUCGCCGCCACCGCGGCGGUUGCCAUAGCGACGACGAGUCCAGUCUCCCGGAAUCAAUCGCCGACUACGGCAGGUCGUCGACGCAAUGGCGGAGCCCGUCCACCCACCGACGCUCUGGCUCUGGGAAUCGCCGACCGCAACUCGGCGGCCCGGGCAAUAGGUCUUCGAAUCGGCCGACGGAUAGCAUGAAGCCCGGGCAGGCCCCACGGACGGCGGAUGGCAAGAAAAAUAAUAAUAAAAGAGAAAAAGUAUCAAGUUUCAUUUCGAUAAUAAUAACGGAGGGGAAAAAAACUAUGGGAAUGACCUCAGAUAAGUGAAAACUGAAAAAGAUAAGGUAAGGUUAAAGAUAUGUGAAUGGCGGAAAAUCGACAAGAGGAGUAACGGGAGGAGGAGCGAUGGAAAGGUGGAAAGGCGGAGUAUACAAUCUUCCAUGGGCGAUAUUUGCCGAAAGACAUCUUCUUAUCGUACAUUUAUUGACGGAGAGGGUCAUUCGAUUUUCUGCUGAUCUCUCCUUCCCUAUUUAAUCUACUUCCUCGAGUGUUUUAUCACUUUUUUUCCGUUAUUGCAUAUUUAAAAAUAAAUUUGUAUUUCCGAUUUAAAAUAUUUUGAACAUUUCAAAAUAGAAUGGCAAUAGUAUAAUAAUUUAACGUAAUAAAUGCGAAUUCGAAUUUUAUUUAUUAUAGUAGAGCAAUGUUUCCUAAAGUUUCGACAUCCGUGUAUUCCUUCUUAAAUUAUCGUAAGUACUGUGAACACUUUUGUCAAAAAAACGUCUUUGGUAAGCUACCCAAAUGCAGCACUCAUCGCAAUUUGAGUAGGAGAAUUCAUACGAAAUAUAUACGUGUAAAAUAAUUUAUUACAGUAUUUUUCUUAAUGAUUCGUACGGCCGUCGAGAAGUUGUUCGAACCCGGGUAGAGCCGGCCUCUUUUGAUAUUUUUUUCUUUUUUGUUUUUGAACAAAUGAAAUUUAUAGAAUAUUUAUUAAUAAAAAGCAGUCUUAACAAUUUUAUAUUUAGUUGGUAAAAAAUAACAUUAAUUUGCAGUAAUUACGAUUAGGAAUCACUUUAUGUUACUUUUACUAAAAUUAAUUUGGGAAAAGCUGAAAUUACCCAAGAAAAAACUGGGGAUUUUUCCCUGGAUCCUAAGUUAUCUUCGGGGUCAGGGAAAACUCUGAGACAGUCCUAAUAGUAGGCUACUGUACUGAACAGUGCUGUGUACAGUAUAUUACUGUACUGUACAGUGCUGUGUACAGUAUAGGUGUCAAUUUUCUGUACAGUGCUGUGUACAGAAAAUUGACACCUAUUCCCUAAGACCUUUUUCGUAUGACACUUUGGGAAACACUCAAUUGGAAAGAACGAAAAUGUGUGAUUAAUAGCAAACUGUUUUUGUAUUUUUUACCGUAUAAUCUACUAAAAAAUGAGAAUAUAUUAUAUAAAUAUUUAGGCUAUUAGCAUGAAAAUGAUUUUUAAAAAAUCUUUGUAACUAACCGAAUUUCGUUAGUAUAGAUUAAAUAAAGUAAAUAGAAAAAUAAAAACGACAUUUCUUUAGAAAUUUUCAAGUUAUAGGAAAAAAGAAAACUCGAAUUAAAUGAAGAAACUCGAAAAAAAUCAGACUCACAAGGAAAAAUAAU